Molecule: non-coding RNA, 121 nt
Filed under: Protocruzia adhaerens
Lineage: Eukaryota; Ciliophora; Spirotrichea
Source: RNAcentral
GAAGAAGUUAAACGAAGAGUUGCCCACAAAUAACCGGAAAGUUGUUCAAAUGUCUUCUAACCAUUUUGUGAUUUUAGAUUUCUCUUUCUUCAUUUUUUCCUUCUUCCCCUUUCUACCCCCU